RNAcentral lists this ribosomal RNA (468 nucleotides) under uncultured bacterium. RNAcentral describes it as "partial 16S ribosomal RNA". It matches the Rfam family "Bacterial small subunit ribosomal RNA", at positions 28 to 507 of the family's 1533-position model. The record is from RNAcentral.
GACGAGCGCUGGCGGCGUGCUUAACACAUGCAAGUCGAACGGAAAGGCCCUGCUUUUGUGGGGUGCUCGAGUGGCGAACGGGUGAGUAACACGUGAGUAACCUGCCCUUGACUUUGGGAUAACUUCAGGAAACUGGGGCUAAUACCGGAUAGGAGCUCCUGCUGCAUGGUGGGGGUUGGAAAGUUUCGGCGGUUGGGGAUGGACUCGCGGCUUACCAGCUUGUUGGUGGGGUAGUGGCUUACCAAGGCUUCGACGGGUAGCCGGCCUGAGAGGGUGACCGGCGACAAUGGGACUGAGAGACGGAGCAGACGCGUACGGGAGGCAGCGGUGGAGAAUAUUACACAAUGGGGGGAAGCCUGAUGCGGCAACGCCGCGUGCGGGAUGACGGCCUUCGGGUUGUAAACCGCUUUCGCCUGUGACGAAGCGUGAGUGACGGUAAUGGGUAAAGAAGCACCGGCUAACUACGUG